AGUUUGAUCCUGGCUCAGAACGAACGCUGGCGGCAGGCCUUACACAUGCAAGUCGAACGAGAAACCACCUUCGGGUGGCAGAAAGUGGCAGACAGGUGAGUAACGCGUGGGAACUUACCCUAAGGUGAGGAAUAACUCGUGGAAACGCGGGCUAAUACCUCAUAAUUCGGGCAACCGACAAAGAUUUAUCGCCUUAGGAUAGGCCCGCGUUGGAUUAGUUUGUUGGUGAGGUAAAAGCUCACCAAGACUACGAUCCAUAGCUGGUUUGAGAGGAUGAUCAGCCACACUGGGACUGAGACACGGCCCAGACUCCUACGGGAGGCAGCAGUGGGGAAUAUUGCGCAAUGGGCGAAAGCCUGACGCAGCCAUGCCGCGUGAGUGAAGAAGGCUUUAGGGUUGUAAAACUCUUUCAUCGGUGAAGAUAAUGACGGUAGCCGAAGAAGAAGCUCCGGCCAACUCCGUGCCAGCAGCCGCGGUAAGACGGAGGGGGCAGGCGUUGUUCGGAAUUACUGGGCGUAAAGCGCGCGUAGGCGGAUAGGUUAGUUGGAGGUGAAAUCCCAGAGCUCAACUUUGGAACUGCCUUCAAUACUGCCUGUCUAGAGAGCGAAAGGGGUGAGCGGAAUUUCCAGUGUAGAGGUGGAAUUCGUAGAUAUUGGAAAGAACACCAGAGGCGAAGGCGGCUCACUGGGUCCCUUCUGACGCUGAGGCGCGAAAGUGUGGGGAGCGAACAGGAUUAGAUACCCUGGUAGUCCACACUGUAAACGAUGAGCACUAGCUGUCGGGCUUCGGCUCGGUGGCGCAGCUAACGCGUUAAGUGCCCCGCCUGGGGAGUACGGCCGCAAGGCUAAAACUCAAAGGAAUUGACGGGGGCCCGCGCAAGCGGUGGAGCAUGUGGUUUAAUUCGAGGCAACGCGAAGAACCUUACCAGCUCUUGACAUCCUGGUCGCGGAGAAUGGAGACAUUCACCUUCAGUUCGGCUGGACCAGUGACAGGUGCUGCAUGGCUGUCGUCAGCUCGUGUCGUGAGAUGUUGGGUUAAGUCCCGCAACGAGCGCAACCCUCGCCCUUAAUUGCCAGCAGGUUAAGCUGGGUACUUUAGGGGAACUGCCGUCGACAAGGCGGAGGAAGGUGGGGAUGACGUCAAGUCCUCAUGGCCCUUAUGGGCUGGGCUACACACGUGCUACAAUGGUGGUGACAGUGGGUUGCAAGCGCGCAAGCGUGAGCCAAUCUCUAAAAACCAUCUCAGUCCGGAUUGUACUCUGCAACUCUGAGUGCAUGAAGUUGGAAUCGCUAGUAAUCGCGGAUCAGCACGCCGCGGUGAAUACGUUCUCGGGCCUUGUACACACCGCCCGUCAAACCAUGGGAGUUGGUUCUACCCGAAGAUAGUGAGCUAACCUUUUAGGAGG
RNAcentral lists this ribosomal RNA (1405 nucleotides) under uncultured Alphaproteobacteria bacterium. RNAcentral's name for it is "uncultured alpha proteobacterium 16S ribosomal RNA". It matches the Rfam family "Bacterial small subunit ribosomal RNA". Lineage: Bacteria; Pseudomonadati; Pseudomonadota; Alphaproteobacteria. The record is from RNAcentral.